ACAUUUAAAAAUCCUUGUGAGGCCCUCCAGGCAAUGUUUUAUUGAUAUUGAUAUAUUUUUUCUCCUACUGAAGUGUACCAAGCAGCAGGUGGUAGAAAAUGGGGGCAGAGAGGUGAAUGGAGCCUAGAUGUGAGUGUAGGGCUUUAUAAGCCAUCUUCAGGGCAGAGUUGCCUGUCCAGAGCCAUGGGGUAAGUGUUUUAGGCCUUGCUAGUCACCUGCUCAGCUCUGCUGUUGUAGUGAGAAAGCGGCUGUGGACAGUAUGUCAGGAGUUGGUGUGGCCGUGCGCCUGUGAAACCUGGUUUACAGACAGAGGCAGCAGGCCAGCUGGGCUCCCCCGCCAUGGUAUGUUUGCUGGCCCUUGUUUUAGAAGGACCAUACGUUGAGAAUAGACUCCAGGGGGCUAAAUGGAGGCCAGGGAACCAGAGAAGAAGCUCUAACAGUGAUGGCGCUGAGAGCCAGUCCCUCGUCCCGAGCGGCCACUCUGGCCUCACACGCGGUCAUGGGUUCGCUCACUUCACCAGGAGUUCUCAGGGCUGCCCCCUCCCUGCCGCCAUUUCCCUUUCAUAUCGCCGACCCGAGUCUCUACUUUAUCCUUUCCUUUGUUCAUCCAUUCUCCACAGCGUAGCAGAGUCAUCUUGUAAACACACGGCUUGGGAGCUUAAGGGAUUUGCUCAAGACCACGAAAUGAAGUGCACUGGUUUCAUAUUCCAGAAGGUUGGAAGGUUGGCGGCCACAGCUCUGGGAGGUGGAUUUUUCCUGCUGCAGGUCUUUGCAGGUGAUUCUGAGGUGCAGCCAAGCUGGAGUGUCCGGAUCCGCAGCUCUUUGUCCCCUCUCGAAGGUCGCCAACCAUACCGGCUACAUCAAAGUGGAUUGGCAGCGGGUAGAGAAGGACGUGAAGAAAGCCAAGGAGCAGCUGAAGAUCCGCAACAGCAACCAGAUACCUACGGAGGUCAAAAGCAAAGCAGAGGAGGUGGUGUCGUUUGUGAAGAAGAAUGUUCUAGUGACUGGUGGAUUUUUCGGAGGCUUUCUGCUUGGUAUGGCAUCCUAAAGAGGAUGACUUCACUUCCUUAUUCCUGGCUUUUCCAGCCAGCAGCCUUUCACUCCAUCAUAGGAUAGCAAGUCUCUCCUCUUCGUCCUCUUCUCCCUCUUCUCCCAUGCCUUCCUUCCUGCCAUGGCGUAUCUGAAUGGCUUCUGUAGGCAUCUGUUGGUACAAGUGGAUAACAGCCCCACCAUGACCUUGACGGCAACGGAAGAGACAGUGGACAUUGACCCUUCUCCCAGCACACUCCCCCUUGACUAAUCUGUAGGUCAGCAGGAAUAUUCCUUUCUCCCCCUAUGUAAGAUACUUACCAGAACAUGGUACAAGGUGGCUCACCAUGGAGCGUGAGUGGAUCCUCAAAGGUUGUCCCAAACUUGACUUGGAAAAGAAAUAAGCGUAUAAGAUACCUUACUAUGUUCUUCAUGGAAAGGAACUGAAUACAUUUGCCUUUAAGCAUGAAAGAUUUUGGUAUCUUGGUGUCUACUUUUGUAGUAGAUUUUAGGUUACAGAACGAGAACUACUUAUACUGGCUCUAAUUAUCCUGACAAAAUGGCAGCAUGUGCGCUACAGUUGAAAUAUCUGCAUACGGAUUGAACUUGUUCUAAAGAUACAUAUGCUGAGCUGAAGGUAUUGUGGGAAGGUCUUUGGGAAACCAACCAAUAGAUACAUUUAGGAUGGUCAGACUUAGUGAAUCACUUAGAGGCAUUCAGGUAUUAUCUAGGGAUGUAUUCCAUCCAUCAUACAGGAUAAUGCAUCUCAUGAUGGUUUCUAAAGGAUUUAUUUAUGGUAAAAUAAGUGACUUUAGGUGGAAGAGGGAAGAAGCUCUGGGAUUUUUGUUUAAUAGGAAAGGUUUUAAGCUUUGAAAUGUGAAAUAUUCUUUACCUCGUCAAAACAUCAGGGGUAGCCAUAGCGCCUCUGUGCCAGUUCUACUAUUUAUCCAGUUGGUAUGAAAUAUAUAACGUUUGAACCAGAGUUUUCAAAUGGUGACAUUCCACACAUUAAGAAUUGAGAACAGUAGCAACAGCACAUGUGAAAUAAGUUAUUUCUAUCAUCAAAGGUAAUGUGCUGUCUCAGGAUGACCCCAACUCUUAGAAUUUCUCUUUAAAAUAAAAGUUUAUAGAUAUACCCAUGCUUAGAAACUUAACACAUUUUUCUGUAAUGGCCUUCUAUUGUACCAUCUAGGAGACCCACUGCAGGAAGGCAAGGCUUGUGUCUUCACCAUUAUAUCCAUGGAGCCAAGCACUUAAUAAGAACUCAGUAUCUGUUGAAUAUAUGAAUAAUGAGCUCAUAGAAAAGUAUCUGGAAAAGGCACUGAGCCACAGGAUUUGUGAUACUUUAUGAGUUCUGAAAAUUCAGAAAACUUGGAAUUAACUUCUUAAACUUGCAGAAAACUGUAAAGUCAGCUUAUUGAAACACCAAAACUACCGUCCUGAAUUUGAAAUGGUAAAAAAUGCCAUUAUGAUGAUUGAGAGCAGUGGUUCGCAUCCUCGCUUGCCUGGCUGCCGUCCUGGAGACUCUGGUUGCACUGGUAGCGGCGGGGCAGCCUCAGAUGUUUGAGGAGCGUCUAAAGUUGGGAACCACUGAACUAUAGACUUCGAAGCUGGUGUAGUAACGUUACAGUUCUGCUGAACAGGCCUUUAAUACCUUUUAAAUUAAGUGCCAUAUAAUUUCGGAUGCCUUCCAAAUACUGAACAGAGUAUAAUAUUAGUUUAUUCAAUGUUAUAGGAAUUGUGUGGCGUGGAUGCAUGAGUAGCAUGAUGGCCGACCAGGGCCUUCUGUCACCGGUGGAUGUAAAGCUCUUGGGCAGAAGGUUGUGGGGUAAUGGAGUGUUCAUAUGGUGCCAACAUAUCAUCCCACAAAUGACCCCCCAUGACCAAGGGAAGACUACCUUUCCAGUGGAGAGGUCUGUCUCGGUCACUAGUUAACCAGGUGAUGAAACUUGGCGUCACUCCGAGCCCACUUACAGCAGGCUUUUAAGAAGUCUCUAAACGGAGGAUGAGAUCAUAGUUCUCACCUUCCCAGCUCUUCCCUGAAGACUGAGAUUCAGUGCUAAUCACAGUCCCUAAUAAAUAAAAAACAGCUGGUGAGUGUUAAGCUUCUUUGAUGUCUCUUUUAUUUCCCUGUAUGUCAUAGGAAUAGCUAAGAAGAAUUAAGAUUGAAAUCAAUGCCUGCUAAUAGAUGUUGAAUGAAACUGAAACAGUACUGAGUUUAGAGAUAGGAAGGAAUAAUUGUUUGAGGCUUUAGGAACCCUAAAGAAAGGAGUAUACUUGGGGAAAAAAUUAAAAGUCUGAAACUUGAGUAGUUAACUCAAUAAAAAUAAUUUUGUAAUAAAGCACAGGAGAGCAGUCUCUUUGAUCAUGUAGUGAUUGCUAAUGUGAAUCCAACACCACUAUCAACUGAUCAUUUUAAAUGUAAUUUAGAUUUGUAUAUGAUGUAAAUAUAGUUAUAAAAUGUUUCAUUAAAUUGUUCUACUAUUAA
Kogia breviceps (pygmy sperm whale) is the source of this 3517-nucleotide non-coding RNA. The record is from RefSeq and is a predicted model, not a curated record. NCBI's taxonomy places the organism in Eukaryota, Metazoa, Chordata, Mammalia, Artiodactyla, Physeteridae.